Molecule: long non-coding RNA, 461 nt
Filed under: Capsicum annuum
Lineage: Eukaryota; Viridiplantae; Streptophyta; Magnoliopsida; Solanales; Solanaceae
Description: long non-coding RNA (CANN_LNC008562)
Source: RNAcentral
AUUAAUUAAGCGGGUCAGCCUCAUAUGAAAAAAUCGAGCAGGUAUGUAUAUAUAUUAUAAAGCAGAGGACGAAUUUAAGUUAUAUAAUAUAUCUAAAUAUUAUUUAUUUAAAUAUUAAAUUAAAGAUGAAACUAUACAAAUAAUAAAAAAAUUAUAGUUUUAAUAAAACGUUAUUAAAUUAAUGUUAUUAAGGAUAGUAGUAGUAUAUUAAAUUAACGUUAUCAAAUUAACGUAAUUAAAAUGUUAUUAAAUUAACGUUAUUAAAAUGUUAUUAAAUUAACGUAGGGGCGGACCUACGUGGUUGCCAUGGGGUUCACUCGAACCCCCUCGGUAAAAAAAUUACGUUGUAUAUAUAUAAGGUAGAAAAUGUAUAUUUAUGUACGUAUAUUAAUGUUGAACCACAUGAAACAAGGCACUUAGAUAUGCCAGUGAUGUUAUUUGCUCUUCUUGGGCGCUUCCUU